RNAcentral lists this ribosomal RNA (485 nucleotides) under Lentamyces zychae. RNAcentral describes it as "eukaryotic LSU rRNA". It matches the Rfam family "Eukaryotic large subunit ribosomal RNA", at positions 66 to 669 of the family's 3401-position model. The record is from RNAcentral. Lineage: Eukaryota; Fungi; Mucoromycota; Mucoromycetes; Mucorales; Lentamycetaceae.
UAACAAGGAUUCCCCUAGUAACGGCGAGUGAAGAGGGAAGAGCUCAAGGUUAAAACCUGGGUGGGUGACCACUCCGGAUUGUAAACUAUUGCUUCCGACUUUGUGAAAGCCUGGUUAAAAGUCCUUUGGAAUAAGGCAUCAUCGAGGGUGAGAGUCCCGUUCGUUGACCAGCGUGUUUUUACUAAUAUUUCGGUUGUCAAGCGAGUCAGGUUGUUUGGGAAUGCAGCCUAAAUUGGGUGGUAAAUCACAUCUAAAGCUAAAUAUUGGCGAGAGACCGAUAGCGAACAAGUACCGUGAGGGAAAGAUGAAAAGAACUUUGAAAAGAGAGUUAAACAGUACGUGAAAUUGCUGAAAGGGAAGCGUUUGCAGACAAAUUGUAGGGUGUAGUUUGUGCGGUGUGAAAAGCGGAUUUUAUUCGAAAGACACGGUGUAGACUUACCCUGCUAUUGCUGGCUGUCAACGACCCGUCUUGAAACACGGACCAA